RNAcentral lists this ribosomal RNA (505 nucleotides) under uncultured bacterium. Its description in RNAcentral is "partial 16S ribosomal RNA". It matches the Rfam family "Bacterial small subunit ribosomal RNA", at positions 28 to 507 of the family's 1533-position model. The record is from RNAcentral.
GACGAACGCUGGCGGCGUGCCUAAUACAUGCAAGUAGGACGCACAGUCUAUACCGUAGCUUGCUACACCAUAGGCUGUGAGUUGCGAACGGGUGAGUAACGCGUAGGUAACCUGCCUAUUAGAGGGGGAUAACUAUUGGAAACGAUAGCUAAUACCGCAUAACAGUAUGUAACACAUGUUAGAUGCUUGAAAGAUGCAAUUGCAUCGCUAGUAGAUGGACCUGCGUUGUAUUAGCUAGUAGGUAGGGUAAUGGCCUACCUAGGCGACGAUACAUAGCCGACCUGAGAGGGUGAUCGGCCACACUGGGACUGAGACACGGCCCAGACUCCUACGGGGGGCAGCAGUAGGGAAUCUUCGGCAAUGGGGGGAACCCUGACCGAGCAACGCCGCGUGAGUGAAGAAGGUUUUCGGAUCGUAAAGCUCUGUUGUUAAGGAAGAACGAGUGUGAGAAUGGAAAGUUCAUACUGUGACGGUACUUAACCAGAAAGGGACGGCUAACUACGUG